Long non-coding RNA from Plodia interpunctella (Indianmeal moth), 1503 nucleotides. RefSeq lists it as uncharacterized. NCBI's taxonomy places the organism in Eukaryota, Metazoa, Arthropoda, Insecta, Lepidoptera, Pyralidae. The record is from RefSeq and is a predicted model, not a curated record. The transcript is spliced from 4 exons.
UUGUCACAAACACAUGAAACUUGUUACCCUUGGUAGGUAAGGAACUCUAAAAAUAUGAUACACGGAACAUUAGGCAUUAUUUAUUAUUUCGCACUUGGUAUGUUUUAUUAAACACGCGAUUCGUCAUUGAUACAUAUCUCUAUUUACAAGCAAUUAACUUGUAUGAGUUACAAAAAUCAACUUGUUUGAAGUCUGACUGGUAGUCAAUCCACAGGGAUUUGUGAUUACAUUUAUAUUCAAUUCAUCUAUAUAUUUAUUCAUUACCGAUAUCUACAUAACGUCCUUGUUAAAUAUAUGGAGCGGUGGUUGUGUAACUACUAAAACCGCCUGUAAAUCGAAAGGUCGCAGGUUCGAAUCCUACUCGUGCCAUUUAAAAAUACGGCUAAAUGACGCUCAGCCAAAACGUUGGACGUUAAAUGAACGUAGCGUUUAAUGAACGGGGCCGUCUUCCAAUAAAAUGGUUUGAUUUAAUAAGAUGGCUGAGAGAAAUCGCGGUUGUGGUUCCAUCCAUAGAUUUAGAAGGGUCCCGCGCUCUGGUACAGUCAAUAGCAUAUCGAGUUACGCUGCAUGAACUUCUAUGCCGCGGUAAACGGCAAAUUUGCAAUGAAUUUGGGUAGGUUCACAUCCUGUUGACUGUACCAUCGUUUAAGUAUCAACCGAACCAUAAUCUGUGGUAACUUGACAGAAACCGAACUUGUCAUAACCUUGGACAUGACAACUGUCAUAGUUAUCACAAGAAAUUUUCUGUUUACAUAUUUAUACUUACAUAUUUUUUGUGUUUUGUAUUAAUUAAUAAUUUUUGAUAGAUACAUUUAAGUAUAUUAUUAUUAGCCUGGUAACCAUGCAUACCAAAUAUUUAAGGGUGCUGUAUAAAACUUUCAGGUUAUAAUGGUUUUUGACAAACUACCUAAGGUGAACAAAUGUUGUUGUGCCGUGCCUUUAAAGUGGGGUGUCAUAUUAAUUGCAUUAUUUUAUAUCGUUUGCAGUGUGGUUGAUCACAAGGUUACAAUGAAAAAAAGUGCGUGCUACGCAGGCGUUUGCAAGGAUGAUUGCCAGUACAAAUUUCUUAUGGAUUAUUUCGCAUACAUUUAUACUCUAGACAUAUUGAUAAAUUAUGUACUGAGCACAUUAUUGAUUAUCGGUGCCGUAAUUGAGAGUCGGGAGAUAGUGAAAAUUUAUCUGUACUUUAUAGUGAUAACGGCUGUGUUGAUUACAAUGAUAAACAUCGUGAUUCUGACAGUGGGCCUGACACAGUCUUAUUGUGCGAACACACUCAAAAUGCGUAUUUAUUGUAUUAUUACAGAGACUCUUUUCUUCUGUUUGUUUAUGUACUUUAUAAUUGUCGUGAAUAGUUUUAGAAUGACUUUACCAUCUGAAUUAGAGUCGGAAAGAUCACAAAUCAGUAAUGUGAACAGGCAUAACGUAAGAUCAAUUAUCUUAAAAGACAGCGAUGCAACAAGUAAAUCUAGUGCUCCUGUUGGGAAACCGAAAUCGAGUGGAAAG